GACGAACGCUGGCGGCGUGCUUAACACAUGCAAGUCGAACGGAAAGGCCUCUUUCGGGGGGUACUCGAGUGGCGAACGGGUGAGUAACACGUGAGUAACCUGCCCUUGACUUUGGGAUAACUUCAGGAAACUGGGACUAAUACCGGAUAGGAGCUCCUGCUGCAUGGUGGGGGUUGGAAAGUUUCGGCGGUUGGGGAUGGACUCGCGGCUUAUCAGCUUGUUGGUGGGGUAGUGGCUUACCAAGGCUUUGACGGGUAGCCGGCCUGAGAGGGUGACCGGCCACAUUGGGACUGAGAUACGGCCCAGACUCCUACGGGAGGCAGCAGUGGGGAAUAUUGCACAAUGGGUGGAAGCCUGAUGCAGCAACGCCGUGUGCGGGAUGACGGCCUUCGGGUUGUAAACCGCUUUCGCUCAUGACGAAGCUUUGUGUGACGGUAGUGGGUAAAGAAGCACCGGCUAACUACGUG
This 467-nucleotide ribosomal RNA is filed under the name uncultured bacterium. Its description in RNAcentral is "partial 16S ribosomal RNA". It matches the Rfam family "Bacterial small subunit ribosomal RNA", at positions 28 to 507 of the family's 1533-position model. The record is from RNAcentral.